RNAcentral lists this ribosomal RNA (495 nucleotides) under uncultured bacterium. RNAcentral describes it as "partial 16S ribosomal RNA". It matches the Rfam family "Bacterial small subunit ribosomal RNA", at positions 28 to 507 of the family's 1533-position model. The record is from RNAcentral.
GACGAACGCUGGCGGCGUGCCUAAUACAUGCAAGUAGAACGCUGAAGGAGGAGCUUGCUUCUCUGGAUGAGUUGCGAACGGGUGAGUAACGCGUAGGUAACCUGCCUGGUAGCGGGGGAUAACUAUUGGAAACGAUAGCUAAUACCGCAUAAGAGUAGAUGUUGCAUGACAUUUGCUUAAAAGGUGCAAUUGCAUCACUACCAGAUGGACCUGCGUUGUAUUAGCUAGUUGGUGGGGUAACGGCUUACCAAGGCGACGAUACAUAGCCGACCUGAGAGGGUGAUCGGCCACACUGGGACUGAGACACGGCCCAGACUCCUACGGGAGGCAGCAGUAGGGAAUCUUCGGCAAUGGACGGAAGUCUGACCGAGCAACGCCGCGGGAGUGAAGAAGGUUGUCGGAUCGUAAAGCUCUGUUGUAAGAGAAGAACGAGUGUGAGAGUGGAAAGUUCACACUGUGACGGUAUCUUACCAGAAAGGGACGGCUAACUACGUG